Molecule: ribosomal RNA, 468 nt
Filed under: uncultured bacterium
Lineage: Bacteria
Description: partial 16S ribosomal RNA
Rfam family: Bacterial small subunit ribosomal RNA
Source: RNAcentral
GACGAACGCUGGCGGCGUGCUUAACACAUGCAAGUCGAACGGAAAGGCCCUGCUUUUGUGGGGUGCUCGAGUGGCAAACGGGUGAGUAACACGUGAGUAACCUGCCCUUGACUUUGGGAUAACUUCAGGAAACUGGGGCUAAUACCGGAUAGGAGCUCCUGCUGCAUGGUGGGGGUUGGAAAGUUUCGGCGGUUGGGGAUGGACUCGCGGCUUAUCAGCUUGUUGGUGGGGUAGUGGCUUACCAAGGCUUCGACGGGUAGCCGGCCUGAGAGGGUGACCGGCCACAUUGGGACUGAGAUACGGCCCAGACUCCUACGGGAGGCAGCAGUGGGGAAUAUUGCACAAUGGGCGGAAGCCUGAUGCAGCAACGCCGCGUGCGGGAUGACGGCCUUCGGGUUGUAAACCGCUUUCGCCUGUGACGAAGCGUGAGUGACGGUAAUGGGUAAAGAAGCACCGGCUAACUACGUG